This 495-nucleotide ribosomal RNA is filed under the name uncultured bacterium. RNAcentral describes it as "bacterial SSU rRNA". It matches the Rfam family "Bacterial small subunit ribosomal RNA", at positions 29 to 517 of the family's 1533-position model. The record is from RNAcentral.
AUUGAACGCUGGCGGCAUGCCUUACACAUGCAAGUCGAACGGCAGCAUGGGUGCUUGCACCUGAUGGCGAGUGGCGAACGGGUGAGUAAUGCAUCGGAACGUACCCGGAAGUGGGGGAUAACGUAGCGAAAGUUACGCUAAUACCGCAUAUUCUGUGAGCAGGAAAGCGGGGGAUCGCAAGACCUCGCGCUUCCGGAGCGGCCGAUGUCGGAUUAGCUAGUUGGCGGGGUAAAGGCCCACCAAGGCAACGAUCCGUAGCGGGUCUGAGAGGAUGAUCCGCCACACUGGGACUGAGACACGGCCCAGACUCCUACGGGAGGCAGCAGUGGGGAAUUUUGGACAAUGGGCGCAAGCCUGAUCCAGCCAUGCCGCGUGAGUGAAGAAGGCCUCGGUUGUAAGCUCUUCGGUCGGGAGGAAGUACGCAUCUCCUAAUACGGGUGGUGGAGUGACGGUACCGAACUAAGAAGACACCGGCUAACUACGUAGCCACGCACG